GUUAAACAGUCGGAUGUCUUGAUGAUAAUGGGAUGCCGAAGAGAAGAGUUGAUGAAGAGGAGAUUGGAGAGAGAAGUGGAAUGUGUGCUUUUUGCCACCCUCACUCUUUAACUUGCCAACUGAUCUGAGAAUCUGAUGGGCCGUGGUAUAUAUAAAAACCUCAACUUGUUACAAGGAACCACGUAUUUAUGUCCACACGAAACAGUAACACAUUCAAUGAUCUAACUCUCUUACAACCAUGCUUUUCGUGUGUAACGAGCUCUCUGGUAAAAGUUAAGUAAGUGUGGUGGAGAUAUUUAGUUACUUUGGUUGAGACAAGGAGCCCCUUAAUAAUUCCUACUUACUAAAUACUACUUAUUUUCCUAUUACACAUUUCGUAGUAGGAGUUUGUUGCUUUACUUAUCACUCACCCACCACCACCUUGGAAGGUGAGCAGGUAUUCAUCCACUUUUCUUUAUUUCUUCAACCUGACACUCCACAAAAUGUCCGACGGUCCGACAGGCUCUCAAGUGUAUGAGAUCUUAUAUGGCCUGCGGGUAAGGCGAUUGUUCCAACUAUUUAACCAAUUACUUAUUUGAGCAAGAAAGUACGAGAUAGUUUCACUCGAAACACAAAUCCGAAGAUUUCAAACCUUGAGAAGAAGCGUGUUGCUUUGGAUGAAUCCAAUCUGAAGACUGACGCUCUGACAAAAUUAUCCCACAUACAACCAUAAGAUCACCCGCAUUCCUACAAUUCCCUCCGCAUAUUGACCUGAAGUCCUUUUUCCUACUUGGGUAGUAGGUGCAUAUGGAUGAGCAAAAAGGGGGUGUCUUAUACCCCGCCGAAAUGGAGGGUGGCUUAGGCGUACAAUAAAAAAUAGGACCCUCCCUCGGUCGGGAGGAUCAACAGGUUUAAGCAGUUUUGGAGCAAACCACCCAAAGUAAGUGUAGGGGAAUCAGGCCUUGUCGACGUGGGAAAACAUCUUGGGCAGAGAUUGUGCCCCUUCAAUCCCUGGUAAGCAUCAAUGAAGAAGAUGUGACGAGGGGAGAGUGUGAACAAUGCCCACCGUUUCAGUGACUUUCGUGGGAACGACCCGCACUUUCGCAUCUCCUUUUGAGCAAACUGUCCCACGACUCUCAGACCCGUCUACCUGCCUCCCUCCCUACCCGCAUCCCACCCGAUUCCUUCACAUCACUCCCAGAUUUGCCACCACCACCACCACCCUACGCAUUUCUACCCCUUCUCCCUUCCAUUCAAAGCGAGAUGAACAAGAAAUCAUGAAAAUUCCCACACCGUCCAAUCUUUUGUUUGAAGUCAUUGCACAAUGUCGCUUCCUCAUUCGUUUCUUGAAAUGUGUCGAUCUAUACAUAGAGAUAAAAUACGGUAAUGUUUUCAAUUUGGUGAGAAACUGGACAAAAUAAAGUCGGAUUCAUUUUCAGUACUUUUCCUA
Long non-coding RNA from Folsomia candida, 1429 nucleotides. RefSeq lists it as uncharacterized. The transcript has 2 exons. The record is from RefSeq and is a predicted model, not a curated record. Lineage: Eukaryota; Metazoa; Arthropoda; Collembola; Entomobryomorpha; Isotomidae.